RNAcentral lists this ribosomal RNA (482 nucleotides) under uncultured bacterium. Its description in RNAcentral is "partial 16S ribosomal RNA". It matches the Rfam family "Bacterial small subunit ribosomal RNA", at positions 30 to 505 of the family's 1533-position model. The record is from RNAcentral.
AUUGAACGCUGGCGGCAGGCCUAACACAUGCAAGUCGAGCGGAUGAAGGGAGCUUGCUCCUGGAUUCAGCGGCGGACGGGUGAGUAAUGCCUAGGAAUCUGCCUGGUAGUGGGGGAUAACGUCCGGAAACGGGCGCUAAUACCGCAUACGUCCUGAGGGAGAAAGUGGGGGAUCUUCGGACCUCACGCUAUCAGAUGAGCCUAGGUCGGAUUAGCUAGUUGGUGGGGUAAAGGCCUACCAAGGCGACGAUCCGUAACUGGUCUGAGAGGAUGAUCAGUCACACUGGAACUGAGACACGGUCCAGACUCCUACGGGAGGCAACAGUGGGGAAUAUUGGACAAUGGGCGAAAGCCUGAUCCAGCCAUGCCGCGUGUGUGAAGAAGGUCUUCGGAUUGUAAAGCACUUUAAGUUGGGAGGAAGGGCAGUAAGUUAAUACCUUGCUGUUUUGACGUUACCAACAGAAUAAGCACCGGCUAACUUCG